RNAcentral lists this ribosomal RNA (772 nucleotides) under uncultured Cortinarius. RNAcentral describes it as "eukaryotic LSU rRNA". The stretch from base 490 to 772 matches the Rfam family "Eukaryotic large subunit ribosomal RNA", at positions 1 to 276 of the family's 3401-position model. The record is from RNAcentral. Lineage: Eukaryota; Fungi; Basidiomycota; Agaricomycetes; Agaricales; Cortinariaceae.
CUGUUGUCGCUGGAUCCGAGGGAGCAUGUGCACACCUUGUCAUCUUUAUAUCUCCACCUGUGCACCUUUUGUAGACCUUUCAGGUCUAUGUUGCUUCAUUUACCCCAAUGUAUGUUAAUAGAAUGUUGUGCCUAUAUUAAUAUAUACAACUUUCAGCAACGGAUCUCUUGGCUCUCGCAUCGAUGAAGAACGCAGCGAAAUGCGAUAAGUAAUGUGAAUUGCAGAAUUCAGUGAAUCAUCGAAUCUUUGAACGCACCUUGCGCUCCUUGGUAUUCCGAGGAGCAUGCCUGUUUGAGUGUCAUUAAUAUAUCAACCUUCUCUUUUUGAGUGGUUUGGAUGUGGGGGUUUGCUGGCCUCUUAAAAAGGUCUUGGCUCUCCUGAAAUACAUUAGCGGAACAUCCCUGUUCAUUGGUGUGAUAACUAUCURCGCUAUUGAAUGUGAAGGGCAGUUUGGCUUUCUAACAGUCCUUGGACAGCUCAUCAUUAAUGUGACCUCAAAUCAGGUAGGACUACCCGCUGAACUUAAGCAUAUCAAUAAGCGGAGGAAAAGAAACUAACAAGGAUUCCCCUAGUAACUGCGAGUGAAGCGGGAAAAGCUCAAAUUUAAAAUCUGGCGGUCUUUUGGCUGUCCGAGUUGUAAUCUAGAGAAGUGUUAUCCGCGCUGGACCGUGNACAAGUUUCCUGGAAUGGAGCAUCAUAGAGGGUGAGAAUCCCGUCUUUGACAUGGACUACCNGGGNUUUGUGAUGCGCUCUCAAAGAGUCGAGUUGUUUG